RNAcentral lists this long non-coding RNA (925 nucleotides) under Zea mays. RNAcentral describes it as "long non-coding RNA (ZMAY_LNC001253)". Lineage: Eukaryota; Viridiplantae; Streptophyta; Magnoliopsida; Poales; Poaceae. The record is from RNAcentral.
UAGGCGCUAAGGCGGUUGUCUGGUGCACUUGCUCGCCUAGGCGCCUUAAGAACACUGUAUAUAAUAUAUAUGAUAUAUAUAUAUAUAUAUAUAUAUAUAUAUAUAUAUAUAUAUAUAUAUAUAUAUAUAUAUAUAGUAUAUAUGGUAUAUAUAAAGAGUAAACAUGACAUGAAUUCUGCAAUGCUGAUUUAAGAGAAGAUAUUUGUUCAUCCAACUGAAAACAGUAGCUCCCCAAUGACCCUAAAGUAAUGCAGGUGUUCAAAACAGCAAAGAAACAGCGUUUAGAAGAACAAGUAAUGAACAGAGAAUCAGAGAUUGAGAUUUUCAGAUCAUGUCAGAUAAUGAACAGAGGUUUAGAAUCAGAUAAUGAACAGAGGUUUAGAAGAACAAGAUGGACAGAUAAUAUCAGGGUUCAGACUCCAGAGUUCAGACCAACCUCUAGACGAUGAACUCAUGCCACACGCUUGUGAACUGGACCCACUGCACGCUGGUGAAGUGGAGCCGCCGGCGAUCAGGUGGCAGUCGCCCGCCGGUUUGCUGUGGAGAGGUGGAACGAGAACGACGAGAAGACAAGAGAUUGAGACAGAGGGAAUCGAGAAGUUUUGGAAACAAGCCGUCAGGCGUCGGGGAAGGUUUUAUUGGGGGCGGUGUAGGACGUUUCACCUCCCUGUAGCCGGGCUGCCCACCCAAAAAAAGCCCAUGAAAAUUUGAGACGCGCCGGACCCUGGGCGGACAUGACCUCCUGAUCGAGUGACUAAUUGAAGCUAGUCGGCGAUCAGGUGUCCUAAUCAAGUCGCCUGCCUGAUCGACCACCCAAAACCGACCAGCCUGACUAAUCGCGGUUUGUCAGAUGACUUGAAAACACAGUAGGAAACACCAUCCCACCUAGCUGAUUUAUCAUGCCCAGGCACCUGCCUAGUCACCA